UUUUUAGUGUAAAUAUGUCCCAUCCAACAUUUGGUACAUACUUACACUAAAA
RNAcentral lists this microRNA precursor (52 nucleotides) under Sus scrofa (pig). Its description in RNAcentral is "mir-1302 microRNA precursor family". It matches the Rfam family "mir-1302 microRNA precursor family". The record is from Rfam by way of RNAcentral. Lineage: Eukaryota; Metazoa; Chordata; Mammalia; Artiodactyla; Suidae.